AGCAGCCGCGGUAAUUCCAGCUCCAAUAGCGUAUAUUAAAGUUGUUGCAGUUAAAAAGCUCGUAGUUGAAUUUCGGGAUCAAUAUGUUGGUCGUGCCUCGGUACGUACUAGCUUAUUGGUUUCUCCUUUCUGAAGAACCAUGAUGUCAUUUAUUUGGUGUCGUGGGGAAUCAGGACUGUUACUUUGAAAAAAUUAGAGUGUUUAAAGCAGGCUCACGCUUGAAUACAUUAGCAUGGAAUAAUGAAAUAGGACGUUUGAUUCUAUUUUGUUGGUUUCUAGGAUCGACGUAAUGAUUAAUAGGGAUAGUUGGGGGCAUUAGUAUUCAAUUGUCAGAGGUGAAAUUCUUGGAUUUAUUGAAGACUAACUACUGCGAAAGCAUUUGCCAAGGAUGUUUUCAUUAAUCAAGAACGAAAGUUAGGGGAUCGAAGACGAUCAGAUACCGUCGUAGUCUUAACCAUAAACUAUGCCGACUAGGGAUC
This 479-nucleotide ribosomal RNA is filed under the name uncultured Glomus. RNAcentral's name for it is "SSU rRNA". It matches the Rfam family "Eukaryotic small subunit ribosomal RNA", at positions 569 to 1054 of the family's 1831-position model. Lineage: Eukaryota; Fungi; Glomeromycota; Glomeromycetes; Glomerales; Glomeraceae. The record is from RNAcentral.